Molecule: ribosomal RNA, 465 nt
Filed under: uncultured bacterium
Lineage: Bacteria
Description: partial 16S ribosomal RNA
Rfam family: Bacterial small subunit ribosomal RNA
Source: RNAcentral
GACGAACGCUGGCGGCGUGCUUAACACAUGCAAGUCGAACGGAAAGGCCCCUUCGGGGGUACUCGAGUGGCGAACAGGUGAGUAACACGUGAGUAACCUGCCCUUGACUUCGGGAUUACUUCAGGAAACUGGGGCUAAUACCGGAUAGGAAUACUUGCUGCAUGGUGGGGGUUGGAAAGCUUCGGCGGUUUUGGAUGGACUCGAAGCGUAGCAGCUUGUUGGUGGGGUAGUGGCUUACCAAGGCGUUGUCGGGUAGCAGGCCUGAGUGGGCGACCGGCCGCAUUGGGACUGAGAUACGGCCCAGACACCUACGGGAGGCAGCAGUGGGGAAUAUUGCACAAGGGGCGGAAGCCGGAUGCAGCAACGCCGCGUGCGGGAUGACGGCCUUCGGGUUGAAAACCGCUUUCAGCAGGGGCGAAGCUUGUGGUGACGGUACCUGCAGAAGAAGCACCGGCUAACUACGUG